UGGGGAAUCUUCCGCAAUGGACGAAAGUCUGACGGAGCAACGCCGCGUGAGUGAAGAAGGUUUUCGGAUCGUAAAACUCUGUCUUUUGGGGCGAACGUGAGUAUGGUGAACAAUCAUAGUCAGUGACGGUACCAAAGGAGGAAGCCACGGCUAACUACGUGCCAGCAGCCGCGGUAAUACGUAGGUGGCAAGCGUUGUCCGGAAUUAUUGGGCGUAAAGAGCGCGUAGGCGGGAUAGUCAGUCUGUUGUAAAAGUGCGGGGCUCAACCCCGUGAUCGCAAUGGAAACAGCUAUUCUUGAGUGCAGGAGAGGAAAGUGGAAUUCCCAGUGUAGCGGUGAAAUGCGUAGAUAUUGGGAGGAACACCAGUGGCGAAGGCGACUUUCUGGACUGUGUCUGACGCUGAGGCGCGAAAGCCAGGGGAGCGAACGGG
This 430-nucleotide ribosomal RNA is filed under the name uncultured prokaryote. Its description in RNAcentral is "bacterial SSU rRNA". It matches the Rfam family "Bacterial small subunit ribosomal RNA", at positions 355 to 776 of the family's 1533-position model. RNAcentral also lists the same sequence under 1 other name. The record is from RNAcentral.